This 465-nucleotide ribosomal RNA is filed under the name uncultured bacterium. Its description in RNAcentral is "partial 16S ribosomal RNA". It matches the Rfam family "Bacterial small subunit ribosomal RNA", at positions 338 to 795 of the family's 1533-position model. The record is from RNAcentral.
CCUACGGGAGGCAGCAGUGGGGAAUAUUGCGCAAUGGGCGAAAGCCUGACGCAGCGACGCCGCGUGAGGGAUGAAGGUCUUCGGAUCGUAAACCUCUGUCAGCAGGGAAGUACGGUCACUGUGCUAAUCAGCAGUGAAUUGACGGUACCUGCAAAGGAAGCACCGGCUAACUCCGUGCCAGCAGCCGCGGUAAUACGGAGGGUGCGAGCGUUAAUCGGAAUUACUGGGCGUAAAGCGCUCGUAGGCGGUAUGUCAAGUCAAGGGUGAAAUCCCCGCGCUCAACGUGGGAACUGCCUUUGAAACUGGCAGACUGGAGUGUGUGAGAGGAUGGUGGAAUUCAAGGUGUAGGAGUGAAAUCCGUAGAUAUCUGAAGGAACAUCAGUGGCGAAGGCGACUAUCUGGCACAUAACUGACGCUGAGGAGCGAAAGCGUGGGUAGCAAACAGGAUUAGAUACCCGAGUAGUC